GGCAUUAGCUCAGUUGGGAGAGCACCAGGUUCGCAAUCUGGGGGUCGAGGGUUCGAAUCCCUUAUGCUCC
This 70-nucleotide transfer RNA is filed under the name human gut metagenome. It matches the Rfam family "tRNA". Rfam says of the family: Transfer RNA (tRNA) molecules are approximately 80 nucleotides in length. Their secondary structure includes four short double-helical elements and three loops (D, anti-codon, and T loops). RNAcentral also lists the same sequence under 1 other name. The record is from RNAcentral.